Hevea brasiliensis (rubber tree) is the source of this 755-nucleotide RNA transcript. It is a transcript of the gene named 60S ribosomal protein L24, with no coding region annotated. The record is from RefSeq and is a predicted model, not a curated record. The transcript has 4 exons. NCBI's taxonomy places the organism in Eukaryota, Viridiplantae, Streptophyta, Magnoliopsida, Malpighiales, Euphorbiaceae.
AUUCCUAUUGUACAUAACGAGGCUAAUUGGUUUUUCCGAUCUAGGGUUUCCACAACCAGAGCAACGGCGACGUCAAGAGCAGCAGCAGUACCAACCAUGGUUCUCAAGUGUUCCUGUUUGCUAAUUCAAAAUGCAAUAGGUAUUUACACAACCGGUUGAAGCCAUCAAAGCUUACAUUACGUGGAUGGCCAUGUAUAGGAAGCAACAUAAGAAGGGUAUUGCUCAAGGGGCUGCAAAGAAGAGGAGAGAGACGUGUCACCAAGAAGCCUUACACUAGGUCCAUUGUUGGUGCCACCUUGGAGGUUAUCCAUAAGAGAAGAACUGAGAAGCCAGAAUUUCGUGAUGCUGCCAGGGAGGCUACUCUCCGGAUGGAUGGUACAAUGUAGUGCAAUUAAGGAAGGAUCAUGAAAACCAAAGAUGAAAAGAAGGCAAAGAAGGCAGAAAUGAUGGCUAAGGUGCAGAUGACACAGGGCAAAGGUCAUGUUCCGAAGAGUGGUGCAUCAAAGGGUCCCAAACUUGGUGGUGGCUGUGGAAAGCGUUGAGCUACUAAUCUAUUCUUUGUACUAUGCAAUUUGACAGCUAGCUUAAUCUAUUAUUUUUUCUUGCAAAAUGGAGAUGUAGGGGUAAUGUGUGUACUUUUUGGCCUUGAAAGCAUUCAUGGCAGUGUUUUUGUCCAUUUUGUUUGCCCCACAUCGUUCACCUAAAUUUGAAGUUGAGCAAUUUUAGUUAGUUCAGGAUCUAAUAUCGAUUUUUCA